AAUGAAGGCACACCUUUUCAAACAUCAAUGAACUUUUAUUUGUAGAGAAUAUUUAACACUGGAACUGGAAGACAUUUUAAAUAUCCACAAAAAAUGAAC
Etheostoma cragini (Arkansas darter) is the source of this 99-nucleotide long non-coding RNA. RefSeq lists it as uncharacterized. The transcript has 3 exons. The record is from RefSeq and is a predicted model, not a curated record. NCBI's taxonomy places the organism in Eukaryota, Metazoa, Chordata, Actinopteri, Perciformes, Percidae.